This 79-nucleotide non-coding RNA is filed under the name Pseudomonas psychrophila. Lineage: Bacteria; Pseudomonadati; Pseudomonadota; Gammaproteobacteria; Pseudomonadales; Pseudomonadaceae. The record is from RNAcentral.
AUUUCUGUAGGAGCGAGCUUGCCUCGCGAUCUUUUGAUCUUUUUAAAAGAUCGCGAGGCAAGCUCGCUCCUACAGUUAU